Molecule: long non-coding RNA, 1646 nt
Filed under: Callithrix jacchus (white-tufted-ear marmoset)
Lineage: Eukaryota; Metazoa; Chordata; Mammalia; Primates; Cebidae
Description: lncRNA (ENSCJAG00000077610.1)
Source: RNAcentral
AUGACAUGGUGUUGGGAACAAGAGCCAUGCAGAAUUCUGCGCCUGGGAACGACAUUGCUACAGCAGUCCUGCUUGCACAACAGAGGUGACUUUGGGGUCCCUGGAGCUGCUUCCCUGGCCAAGCUGCGGAGAGGCUGUGAGCCCCUUUGGAAGCCAGGGGGCGUCCCUCCUGCUCACGGCCCGAUGGCUGCAGCCCAGCCCAAGCCCACCCAGCUACAGGGGAGCCCGGAUGGGUCCAGGUGUGCCCAGGAACAAGGGAAGGGACAAGAGUUCAAAGCAGACAGCAGCAUCCACCUGCACUCAUAGUUAACAGUUGACUAUUUUGACACUUGAGAAUGUUUUCUAGAAUAAAAAGGAGUAAGAAAAGGUUGAAUUUGGCAAAGACAUAGGUAUAAAUUCAUGAGAGGACACGGCAGGUCACUUCCACUGCCUUAGAAAUCUGGAAAUGAGGAAAUUCCAAGACCCAUGAGUCUGGCAUUUAUCAACGAUUUUUUCUUUCCAUGACAAAUGUAGAGGUAUAAUUAUUUUGUGAGCACACAGAAAACCAUAACAAUUUUAGACUCGCAAAUUACUAAAAAGUACUGAUCUACGUGGUUCUUUUCAACCAAAAUUAAUGUAAAUAACAUAAAAAUGUUGAAUUAAAGAUUUAUUUUCCAAAAAGGACUUUUGUAGCAGACAUUGUGUAUCUUUGGUGACUUUUAAUUUUUUAAACAAAAUUUCCUCGUUUUCUUCCAAUGUGUUUUUUCCAUUUUUUAAAAUUUUUUGAUCCUCAUACAACUUGCUCUGACCACACUUAUUUUUCUAAAUUCUUUUGUAAUCAAAUGCUGUGUUUUCAUUUUGUACACAAACAAUGUGAGCCUUACCUUGACCAAGAAGCCUAUAGACGAAUGUCCAACGAAUGUCCACCAGAUGGGCUGGUGUCUGGCACUCCCUGCCCAGUUGGUACUUCCUAGAAACGGACUGGGUGGGGGCGAGGUAGGGGAACCAUCUGCCUCACGGUCCUUAGCAUCUAGAAAAGGAGGCGAUUCAAAGGCAGAGGGAAGUAUCCUUCUUAUCGGAGUUGCUUUCAAGUCGAAGGACUUUAGAUGGGAAAUUCCAAUCAGCAGAAGGUAAAUCUAGCUUGUAAGCAUAAUCAUUGCUUUAUUAGUUGAUAAUGCUUUUUAAUCAAUACAUGUUUAGCAUGGAAAACCCAAAAUCAGUUUUUAAACUGCAGCUAUUGACUAUGGAAUUUCCCUUGCAAAUGACUUCUCACCAAAUGAAUAUAUCAUCUAGAGAUGGGACUCUAUUUUAGGGGGUUACUUUCUUUAGAUAGUGGAAUGCCUGGAGACCACAACCAGAUCUGAGAACGUCGUAUCUUGGUUUUAGUGGAGCAGACAGCCAAUUUCUCAGACUUAGGGCUUAAAAAAUGUUGAAAUGUACUCCACAGAAAAAUCUCAAAAGUUAACCAUUCAAACUCACAUUGGCCUAAGAAACAUUUUUAGACAUAAAAGCAACUCUAAAAUUCUGCUUUAUAGGGCUCUUCUGAGAAUACGAUUAUGCAAUCACUAAGUGGAAGUGGCUCUUUGCUAUGGUUUCUGGCUGCCCUGUCUCACCACUGUAGCUUUUGGAUACAAAAUGAGAAUGGCCAGCCUGGAAGGAGUGAUGGC